Molecule: ribosomal RNA, 229 nt
Filed under: uncultured bacterium
Lineage: Bacteria
Description: partial 16S ribosomal RNA
Rfam family: Bacterial small subunit ribosomal RNA
Source: RNAcentral
GAUCAUGGCUCAGGAUGAACGCUGGCGGCGUGCUUAACACAUGCAAGUCGAACGAAGCACUUUGGGCAGAUUCUUCGGAAUGAAACCAGAUAUGACUUAGUGGCGGACGGGUGAGUAACACGUGAGCAACCUGCCUUUCAGAGGGGGAUAACGGCUGGAAACGGUCGCUAAUACCGCAUGACGUGUUCGGAUGGCAUCAUCUGAACAUCAAAAGAUUUAUCGCUGAAAG